RNAcentral lists this transfer RNA (74 nucleotides) under Criibacterium bergeronii. It matches the Rfam family "tRNA". From Rfam's summary of the family: Transfer RNA (tRNA) molecules are approximately 80 nucleotides in length. Their secondary structure includes four short double-helical elements and three loops (D, anti-codon, and T loops). Further hydrogen bonds mediate the characteristic L-shaped molecular structure. tRNAs have two regions of fundamental functional importance: the anti-codon, which is responsible for specific mRNA codon recognition, and the 3' end, to which the tRNAs corresponding amino acid is attached (by aminoacyl-tRNA synthetases). tRNAs cope with the degeneracy of the genetic code in two manners: having more than one tRNA (with a specific anti-codon) for a particular amino acid; and 'wobble' base-pairing, i.e. permitting non-standard base-pairing at the 3rd anti-codon position. Lineage: Bacteria; Bacillati; Bacillota; Clostridia; Peptostreptococcales; Filifactoraceae. The record is from Rfam by way of RNAcentral.
GUAUCCGUAGCUCAGGUGGAUAGAGCAGCAGUUUCCUAAACUGUGUGUCGGGGGUUCAAGUCCCCCCGGGUGCA